This 101-nucleotide transfer RNA is filed under the name Anopheles minimus. Its description in RNAcentral is "tRNA tRNA-Tyr". It matches the Rfam family "tRNA". Rfam says of the family: Transfer RNA (tRNA) molecules are approximately 80 nucleotides in length. Their secondary structure includes four short double-helical elements and three loops (D, anti-codon, and T loops). Further hydrogen bonds mediate the characteristic L-shaped molecular structure. tRNAs have two regions of fundamental functional importance: the anti-codon, which is responsible for specific mRNA codon recognition, and the 3' end, to which the tRNAs corresponding amino acid is attached (by aminoacyl-tRNA synthetases). tRNAs cope with the degeneracy of the genetic code in two manners: having more than one tRNA (with a specific anti-codon) for a particular amino acid; and 'wobble' base-pairing, i.e. permitting non-standard base-pairing at the 3rd anti-codon position. Lineage: Eukaryota; Metazoa; Arthropoda; Insecta; Diptera; Culicidae. The record is from RNAcentral.
CCUUCGAUAGCUCAGUUGGUAGAGCGGUGGACUGUAGAGAGGCAAUGAGCAAUGCAAAAAUAGUGAUCCAUAGGUCGCUGGUUCAAAUCCGGCUCGAAGGA